UAACACUAACUGGAGGACCGAACCGACUAAUGUUGAAAAAUUAGCGGAUGACUUGUGGCUGGGGGUGAAAGGCCAAUCAAACCGGGAGAUAGCUGGUUCUCCCCGAAAGCUAUUUAGGUAGCGCCUCGUGAAUUCAUCUCCGGGGGUAGAGCACUGUUUCGGCAAGGGGGUCAUCCCGACUUACCAACCCGAUGCAAACUGCGAAUACCGGAGAAUGUUAUCACGGGAGACACACGGCGGGUGCUAACGUCCGUCGUGAAGAGGGAAACAACCCAGACCGCCAGCUAAGGUCCCAAAGUCAUGGUUAAGUGGGAAACGAUGUGGGAAGGCCCAGACAGCCAGGAUGUUGGCUUAGAAGCAGCCAUCAUUUAAAGAAAGCGUAAUAGCUCACUGGUCGAGUCGGCCUGCGCGGAAGAUGUAACGGGGCUAAACCAUGCACCGAAGCUGCGGCAGCGACGCUGAUGCGUUGUUGGGUAGGGGAGCGUUCUGUAAGCCUGCGAAGGUGUGCUGUGAGGCAUGCUGGAGGUAUCAGAAGUGCGAAUGCUGACAUAAGUAACGAUAAAGCGGGUGAAAAGCCCGCUCGCCGGAAGACCAAGGGUUCCUGUCCAACGUUAAUCGGGGCAGGGUGAGUCGACCCCUAAGGCGAGGCCGAAAGGCGUAGUCGAUGGGAAACAGGUUAAUAUUCCUGUACUUGGUGUUACUGCGAAGGGGGGACGGAGAAGGCUAUGUUGGCCGGGCGACGGUUGUCCCGGUUUAAGCGUGUAGGCUGGU
This 771-nucleotide ribosomal RNA is filed under the name Escherichia coli. RNAcentral describes it as "partial 23S ribosomal RNA". It matches the Rfam family "Bacterial large subunit ribosomal RNA", at positions 757 to 1529 of the family's 2925-position model. Lineage: Bacteria; Pseudomonadati; Pseudomonadota; Gammaproteobacteria; Enterobacterales; Enterobacteriaceae. The record is from RNAcentral.